UACGUAGGUGGCAAGCGUUGUCCGGAAUCACUGGGCGUAAAGGGCGCGUAGGCGGCCUGAUAAGUAGGGGGUGAAAUCCUGCGGCUUAACCGCAGGGCUGCCUUCUAAACUGUCGGGCUAGAGCACGGUAGAGGCAGAUGGAAUUCCCGGUGUAGCGGUGGAAUGCGUAGAGAUCGGGAAGAACAUCAGUGGCGAAGGCGGUCUGCUGGGCCGUUGCUGACGCUGAGGCGCGACAGCGUGGGGAGCAAACAGG
RNAcentral lists this ribosomal RNA (253 nucleotides) under uncultured bacterium. Its description in RNAcentral is "partial 16S ribosomal RNA". It matches the Rfam family "Bacterial small subunit ribosomal RNA", at positions 524 to 776 of the family's 1533-position model. The record is from RNAcentral.